This 471-nucleotide ribosomal RNA is filed under the name uncultured organism. RNAcentral's name for it is "partial 16S ribosomal RNA". It matches the Rfam family "Bacterial small subunit ribosomal RNA", at positions 335 to 797 of the family's 1533-position model. The record is from RNAcentral.
ACUCCUACGGGAGGCAGCAGUGGGGAAUUUUGGACAAUGGGCGAAAGCCUGAUCCAGCGAUGCCGCGUGAGUGAAGAAGGCCUUCGGGUUGUAAAGCUCUUUUGUCAGGGAAGAAACGGUGAGAGCUAAUAUCUCUUGCUAAUGACGGUACCUGAAGAAUAAGCACCGGCUAACUACGUGCCAGCAGCCGCGGUAAUACGUAGGGUGCAAGCGUUAAUCGGAAUUACUGGGCGUAAAGCGUGCGCAGGCGGUUUUGUAAGUCUGAUGUGAAAUCCCCGGGCUCAACCUGGGAAUUGCAUUGGAGACUGCAAGGCUAGAAUCUGGCAGAGGGGGGUAGAAUUCCACGUGUAGCAGUGAAAUGCGUAGAUAUGUGGAGGAACACCGAUGGCGAAGGCAGCCCCCUGGGUCAAGAUUGACGCUCAUGCACGAAAGCGUGGGGAGCAAACAGGAUUAGAUACCCUGGUAGUCCCA